GGACGGCCCAGGUUCCCGAUUAAACUGUAGCGAGGCGGGAGCGAUGCCUCUCAAGGUGAAAGCCGUCAGCCUUUUAUGACAAGGCAGGCGCUUUCAGCCUUGAUACUUAGGUUGCUUCGGAUGGUGCAAUGUUAAUUGCGCCAUCCGACAAACAUCUUUCUCUUCUUGCACCACCACAUCCUGGUGAUGGUGCAACUGUAUACGUGUCUUUAUCUAU
Molecule: long non-coding RNA, 217 nt
Organism: Daphnia pulicaria
Lineage: Eukaryota; Metazoa; Arthropoda; Branchiopoda; Diplostraca; Daphniidae
Exons: 3
Source: RefSeq, a predicted model, not a curated record